RNAcentral lists this ribosomal RNA (1491 nucleotides) under metagenome. Its description in RNAcentral is "bacterial SSU rRNA". It matches the Rfam family "Bacterial small subunit ribosomal RNA". The record is from RNAcentral.
AGAGUUUGAUCCUGGCUCAGGACGAACGCUGGCGGCGUGCCUAAUACAUGCAAGUCGAGCGAGAAAGCUACCUUCGGGGAGUGAGUAGAGCGGCGAACGGGUGAGUAACGCGUAGAUAAUCUACCCUUGAGAUUGAGAUAACACCGGGAAACUGGUGCUAAUACCGAAUGACGCCUUGGAGUUGGAAUUCCAAGGUUAAAGGGGGGCAACUCCCGCUUGAGGAUGAGUCUGCGUUCUAUCAGCUAGUUGGUGGGGUAAUGGCCUACCAAGGCGAAGACGGAUAGUUGGUCUGAGAGGAUGAUCAGCCACACUGGCACUGAGACACGGGCCAGACUCCUACGGGAGGCAGCAGUAGGGAAUAUUGCGCAAUGGGCGAAAGCCUGACGCAGCGACGCCGCGUGAGUGAUGAAGGUCUUAUUGAUUGUAAAGCUCUGUAAGGAGGGAAGAACAUUCAGUUGUAACGAGCUGAACUGACGGUACCUCCAAAGUAAGGACCGGCUAAAUAUGUGCCAGCAGCCGCGGUAAUACAUAUGGUCCAAGCGUUGUCCGGAAUGACUGGGCGUAAAGGGUGCGUAGGCGGCCACAUAUGUCAGGUGUGAAGUCCCCGGGCUUAACCUGGGAACUGCGCUUGAAACUGUGUGACUGGAGUAUGAGAGAGGCAAGUGGAAUUCCCGGAGUAGCGGUGAAUGCGUAGAGAUCGGGAAGAACACCAGUGGCGAAGGCGACUUGCUGGCUUAUUACUGACGCUGAGGCACGAAAGCGUGGGGAGCGAACGGGAUUAGAUACCCCGGUAGUCCACGCCGUAAACGAUGUAUACUAGAUGUCUGUGAUAAUUAAAUUGUGGGUGUCGGAGCUAACGCGAUAAGUAUACCGCCUGGGGAGUACGGUCGCAAGAUUAAAACUCAAAGGAGUUGACGGGGGCCCGCACAAGCGGUGGAGCAUGUGGUUUAAUUCGAUGCAACGCGCAGAACCUUACCCGGUCUUGACAUCCUUCGGACCGAUCCUAGAGAUAGGAUCUUUCUCUUCGGAGACUGAAGUAACAGGUGCUGCAUGGCUGUCGUCAGCUCGUGUUGUGAGAUGUUGGGUUAAGUCCCGCAACGAGCGCAACCCUUGUCGUUAGUUGCCAUCAUUAAGUUGGGCACUCUAGCGAGACUGCCGAGGUUAACUCGGAGGAAGGCGGGGAUGACGUCAAGUCCUCAUGGCCCUUAUGACCGGGGCUACACACGUGCUACAAUGGUACGGACAGAGUGAAGCUACACUGUAAAGUCAAGCGAAUCACAAAAACCGUAUCUCAGUUCGGAUUGGAGUCUGCAACUCGACUUCAUGAAGCUGGAAUCGCUAGUAAUCGCGGAUCAGCAUGCCGCGGUGAAUACGUUCCCGGGCCUUGUACACACCGCCCGUCACACCAUGGGAGCUGUUCUUACUGGAAAACGUUGGGCUAGCCUUCGGGAGGCAGGCGUUAAUGGUGAGGAUAGUGACUGGGGUGAAGUC